This 2422-nucleotide long non-coding RNA is filed under the name Helianthus annuus (common sunflower). RNAcentral's name for it is "sRNA HanXRQr2_Chr10g0424911". The record is from RNAcentral. Lineage: Eukaryota; Viridiplantae; Streptophyta; Magnoliopsida; Asterales; Asteraceae.
GUAAAGAAAACCAUAGAGACUAAAUGUCAAAAGAAACAUAGAAACUAAUUAAGCUUUACACUUUUGAUUGUUCAAAACCAAACAAACCUUUAUAUACUUAUACUAGAUCAACGAUCACAAGUAUAUUUAAGAACAAUAACACUAGCAGUAAUAAUAGUAGCAACAAUACAAGAUUUAAACACUAGUAAGACAUCCAUGAAUGCUUGCUUUUUUGCCUUCAAACAUCCAUAUUCAUGCUCUUCUCAAGUUAACUUCACCCCUCUCUAAACCCGUAGUAAUACAUGAAAUUACCAUUCUACCCAUGCCAUGAGAGACCUCUUCAAACCAAACAUCCAUGCUCUACUAAACAUGGUUUCACCCAUAGUUUGAUCAAGUGCACAAAGGAUUCUUGCCAAUGAUCCUUUGUAAAACAUCACGAAGUUACCGUUUUACCAUGCGGAAGAGAACCCACUCUCCCAUCACAAGAUAACCACAUAUUAUAGCAUCAAUAAGGUGCACAAAAAUUCAUAUAUAUAACUACACAAGAAGAAAAGAAAAGAGAAAUAAAGCAAAGAAACUAAUAAUAAUACUAGUAGUAGUAGUAAAAAUGUCAAAAGCUUGUGUUAUGGGGGUGGGUGGGGGUAGGGUGUUCGUUCAUCUAUGAGCUCACAAAGUUUUUGAUCACAUCCAUUAAAGUGUAGAAAUGCUCAUUAUUUGGUAAGAAAUAGAACCCAAUUGUAGCCUUUUUCAAGAACAAUAACUCCACUUGUUGCUCUGCAUUCUCCAACCCUUCAACAUAUGCCAAUUGCCAAUCUUGAACAAGAUCCAAUCCAGCCACAACCACCAAACUUUUUGGAAAUUUAACCCCUUUUAGAUCAACCCCUCUCGGCCCGAAUAUGUUACACGCCGGAUGAUCGCGAUCUUCCCCUUCCGGCAAAAAAGCCCUCCAAUACCAAUCCCUAUCUUGAACCCUAACAAAAUACUUCCCAUCGAGUUUGCUCUCCGAUUCUUUUCGCUCUUCGCCCCCAAACAAUGGGUGCAACAAUAUGUUCCCUAACACUUCCACACCCGACUCAGCGGCCCGAACCGCCACGUGGUGGGCUAUGUUGCCGCCGGAGCUAUCACCGGCUAAAUAAACAUGAACUUUAGGGUCUUUACCACUUAAAAGCCAUGUUCUUGAAUGAACCCAUUUGAGGGCUUCCCACCCAUCUUCAUAAGCACACGGAUACCGAUGCUCCGGUGACCGGCGGUAGUUUACCGACACGACCACCCCUUUGAUCAGGGCGGUGAGACGGCGGCAAAACGUGUCGUAAAUCGCGCUAUUCGCUGACGAAUGAGUGAAGCUUCCACCAUGGAAAAAGAUUAUCACCGGCACAACUUCAGUUGUGCUUAAAGGGUUUUCGAGUUCCAAGAUUCCGGCACCCGGUUGCCGGCCGGAAUCUGAUUCCGGCGGGGCACACCGGUAGAUUCGGUUGAGGAGACUGGUGGCCCGGUCAACGACAUCGAAUGAGUACACGCCGUCCACCGGAACGGUGUUGGCGGCCACUUUCCGGUCAAGAAACUCGGCCAGUUCACGGUUGAAGGUGCCGUCCGGUCGCCGGAGCAUAUUGUAAGCUAACUUGAAGUUGGAAAUCAAGAUCCAUGUGUGCAGGGGAACUACUUUCUGUAAAAUAAAAAAAAUUAAAAAAAAAAUAGAAUCAACAUAUAUUUCUGAAAACUAACAUCUGGCAACUACAGAUUGCUCACUCAAACACCAAUGGAUAACAACAAAAACUUCUGGUGACCAGAAAUAAAAACAAGAAACCCAUUAAAAUCUUUGAGAAAAUGUUAACAAAAAAAAUUAAAGAUUUUAGACACAUAUUAAUGAAAAAGAACCCCAAACAGAAAAUGAAGAAACUUUAUCAGAUUAAGUUAUCAAAAACUUAAAAAAAAAAAAAAGAAAGAAAGGUGGAAACUUUUAAUGGCUAAAUCAAAGAAAAAGAAACCCCAAACAGAAAAUCAAGAAAACUUAUCAGAUUAUGUAAACCAAAAACUAAAAAUAAUAAAAAAAAGGUUGAAACUUUUAAUGUCUAAAUCAAAGAAAUAGAACCCCUAAACAGAAAAUCAAGAAAAAUUAUCAAAUUAAUUGAUCAAAAACUAAUAAAAAAAAGGUUGAAACUUUUAGAACCUAAAUCAAAGAAAACAAAAACCCAGAAAAAAAAAACUAAAAGAAAUUAACAAUUUUUAGUUAAAACUAUGAAACCCCAUCAAGAAUAAAGAAAAUGGGAAAUAUAAUUGUUGAAAAGAAACAAAAGUUUAUAAAAAACGUGUAAAAAAUAAAAACCAUCAGGAACAAAACCCCCAAAAGUUUACCCCAAAAUCAACCAAGAAGAAAGUAGAAUUACCAAAAUAAUCGAACAAAAGGCAUAAAAAAAUAAGGAAAAUAUUAACCAUUUUGGGAACA